RNAcentral lists this ribosomal RNA (233 nucleotides) under uncultured bacterium. RNAcentral's name for it is "partial 16S ribosomal RNA". It matches the Rfam family "Bacterial small subunit ribosomal RNA", at positions 794 to 1028 of the family's 1533-position model. The record is from RNAcentral.
UCCAUGCCGUAAACGUUGUAUACUAGAUGUGGGGGGAUUAAGCCCCCUCCGUGUCCAAGCUAACGCGAUAAGUAUACCGCCUGGGGACUACGGCCGCAAGGCUAAAACUCAAAGGAAUUGACGGGGACCCGCACAAGCGGUGGAGCAUGUGGCUUAAUUCGAGGCAACGCGAAGAACCUUACCUGGGUUUGACAUGUUUAACCGCUCUAGAAUAGAGCUUUCUUUCGAGAUUU